This 549-nucleotide ribosomal RNA is filed under the name Curvularia geniculata. RNAcentral's name for it is "eukaryotic LSU rRNA". The stretch from base 196 to 349 matches the Rfam family "5.8S ribosomal RNA". Lineage: Eukaryota; Fungi; Ascomycota; Dothideomycetes; Pleosporales; Pleosporaceae. The record is from RNAcentral.
UCUCCGUAGGUGAACCUGCGGAGGGAUCAUUACACAAUAAAAUAUGAAGGCUGCCCGCAGCUGGAGUAUUUUAUUACCCUUGUCUUUUGCGCACUUGUUGUUUCCUGGGCGGGUUCGCCCGCCUCCAGGACCACAUGAUAAACCUUUUUUAUGCAGUUGCAAUCAGCGUCAGUACAACAAAUGUAAAUCAUUUACAACUUUCAACAACGGAUCUCUUGGUUCUGGCAUCGAUGAAGAACGCAGCGAAAUGCGAUACGUAGUGUGAAUUGCAGAAUUCAGUGAAUCAUCGAAUCUUUGAACGCACAUUGCGCCCUUUGGUAUUCCAAAGGGCAUGCCUGUUCGAGCGUCAUUUGUACCCUCAAGCUUUGCUUGGUGUUGGGCGUUUUUGUCUUUGGUUGCCCAAAGACUCGCCUUAAAACGAUUGGCAGCCGGCCUUUCUGGUUUCGCAGCGCAGCACAUUUUUGCGCUUGCCAUCAGCAAAACGGCACUCCAUCAAGACUCUAUAUCACUUUUGACCUCGGAUCAGGUAGGGAUACCCGCUGAACUUAA